GGGGAUGUAGCUCAGUUGGUAGAGUGCGUGCCUCCUAAGAACAAUGGUCCUGGGUUCAAUCCCCAGCACCACCA
Sciurus carolinensis (gray squirrel) is the source of this 74-nucleotide non-coding RNA. Lineage: Eukaryota; Metazoa; Chordata; Mammalia; Rodentia; Sciuridae. The record is from the annotation of a RefSeq genome assembly.